This 427-nucleotide ribosomal RNA is filed under the name uncultured bacterium. RNAcentral describes it as "bacterial SSU rRNA". It matches the Rfam family "Bacterial small subunit ribosomal RNA", at positions 355 to 774 of the family's 1533-position model. The record is from RNAcentral.
UGGGGAAUUUUGGACAAUGGGCGCAAGCCUGAUCCAGCAAUGCCGCGUGCAGGAUGAAGGCCUUCGGGUUGUAAACUGCUUUUGUACGGAGCGAAAAGGUCUGCCCUAAUACGGUGGGCUCAUGACGGUACCGUAAGAAUAAGCACCGGCUAACUACGUGCCAGCAGCCGCGGUAAUACGUAGGGUGCGAGCGUUAAUCGGAAUUACUGUGCGUAAAGCGUGCGCAGGCGGUUAUGUAAGACAGAGGUGAAAUCCCCGGGCUCAACCUGGGAACGGCCUUUGUGACUGCAUAGCUAGAGUACGGUAGAGGGGGAUGGAAGUCCGCGUGUAGCAGUGAAAUGCGUAGAUAUGUGGAGGAACACCGAUGGCGAAGGCAAUCCCCUGGACCUGUACUGACGCUCAUGCACGAAAGCGUGGGGAGCAAACA